Molecule: non-coding RNA, 1514 nt
Organism: Lolium perenne
Lineage: Eukaryota; Viridiplantae; Streptophyta; Magnoliopsida; Poales; Poaceae
Source: RefSeq, a predicted model, not a curated record
CUCCCGAAAAAACCUCAUCUACCAGCCACGUCGCCCACCACCGCCUCCCCGUCCCCUGCUCGAUUCACCGCAGCCGCCACCGUCCAGGCGGAUUCCCCGGCGCAGCGCCCCUAUCUCGACCUCCUUCCUCCUCCCCAGCCGACUCUCGGGCAGCGCCGCCAGAUUCAACAGCGGUGUGGUCUUUCAGGAGCAGGUCGAGUGCUGGACGGCAGGAGGUAGGACCAGUUCGCCGGAUCGUAGGUCCUCGCCGCCGCCGUUGUGGUGUGGCUCACCGUCAUAUUCCCGUUCCAGGCAGCAGCAUCAGCAGCAGCAGAGGCCAGACCAAUGAAUUCCUCUCCGCAUUAUCUAUUCAUUGAGAUAAUUCUCUGUGCCUUCCAUGUCCGAGAAUACAAAGUUUCAGCUUGAUUUCCCUAUCCGAUACUACAAGUUCCUAGGUGGAUUCGAUCCUUUCUCUUUGACUAAUUUAUCUGCUACGAAUUCAUCAGAUUCUUUAUUUGACAUUCCAAAUCCAGGGUGUGUCGCGGCCAAGUGCAGAUGUGUGGGCAGUUUUGCUGAUCUCCUACGCCUUCAGAUCCGAAGGUCUAUCCAGGUGAAUAAAUACCUAAUUUCGCAUUUGGAUUAGAUGUCUAAUGCUCACCCUCUUGGACAUGUAUAUAUGUCAUUCAUGGGACCUGUGAUUUCUUAAAUGGUUGCAUUUGUUCUAGUAUUGUAUUUUUUUACGGGAGUUGGAACUCCACAAGAUAAUUUUUACUCUUUACUAUUUAUCAUAGAUAAUUAUCAUACAGAAAAUAUCUGACAUAGAUUACUGAUCUGAAGGAAAAAAUAAAUUGAUUUGUGUUGUUCUUUUUCCGAGCAUUGCUUCAUAUACCAGAUUGUCCCAUCAAGUUGAACCGGCAAAACAGCAGGAGCAAGUCGAUCAUGCUCCUUUUUCUAUAGCACAUCGGAAGAGGUGUGGGGCACCAGCAAACACAUCAUUCUUGUAGUACAAGAUGUAGUUAGGCAAGAACAUAAUGAUUUAUGACCUGUAGAGAGGCAAUAAGGUGAUGAUUUAUGGCCCGCUGCUUAUGCAUGCUUAUGUUUUAUCUAGUCCAUGAUUUUUCUUAAAAAACUAUUUCAUUGAUGCAGUUAAUAAUAUCUCAUUUUGAAAUAACAAGUAUUUUUCGGUGAAUCUUAAAGACUAUGUGGCACAAAAGGAAAACCUACAAGAAGUGAACCGAACGGACCUGUGGUACACUUUGCUGCAAAAUGAAGAAGAAUGAGGAAGAACACAACGCACCAAGAUUAUAAGUCAUAACCCAAGUCAACAACAUGUUCAAAGACAAUUGAAUAGUGAGGUCCUAUGGUUGAUGUUGUGCUCGCGCCAAGAAGCUUUUUUCAACGGAAGACUAGAAGUAGCAACAUAUGUAGUCUUUAUCGAUGGAAUGAAGAAUGUAAUAUAUUUGUGAGAGUGCCUACCAAAUAAUUAAAUGUAAUGCAUGAUACAUUAAUGGUGUCGCGCUUUAUUUUCUCUGUUA